GGAAUGAGGGCAAUCUGGCUAUGACAUCUGUCACUCCAGUAAUUGUUAUGGUUUAUGUAACUGAUCUACCUGGCUUAGGUCCCUUUCUUCCCUUGCUGCUC
This 101-nucleotide small RNA is filed under the name Notechis scutatus (mainland tiger snake). RNAcentral describes it as "7SK RNA (ENSNSUG00000020207.1)". It matches the Rfam family "7SK RNA", at positions 1 to 107 of the family's 331-position model. Rfam says of the family: 7SK was discovered as an abundant small nuclear RNA in the mid-70s but a possible function has only recently been suggested. Two independent studies have found that 7SK RNA binds the CDK9/cyclin T complex (known as elongation factor P-TEFb). P-TEFb activates transcription by phosphorylating the C-terminal domain of RNA polymerase II. Lineage: Eukaryota; Metazoa; Chordata; Lepidosauria; Squamata; Elapidae. The record is from RNAcentral.